RNAcentral lists this ribosomal RNA (441 nucleotides) under uncultured bacterium. RNAcentral describes it as "partial 16S ribosomal RNA". It matches the Rfam family "Bacterial small subunit ribosomal RNA", at positions 338 to 795 of the family's 1533-position model. The record is from RNAcentral.
CCUACGGGCGGGCAGCAGUGGGGCAUAUUGUACAAUGGGGGGAACCCUGAUGCAGCGACGCCGCGUGAGUGAAGAAGUAUUUCGGUAUGUAAAGCUCUAUCAGCAGGGAAGAAAAUGACGGUACCUGACUAAGAAGCCCCGGCUAACUACGUGCCAGUAGCCGCGGUAAUACGUAGGGGGCAAGCGUUAUCCGGAUUUACUGGGUGUAAAGGGAGCGUAGACGGUUAUGCAAGUCUGAGGUGAAAGCCCAAGGCUCAACCCUGGGACUGCUUUGGAAACUGUGGAGCUAGAGUGCUGGAGAGGUAAGUGGAAUUCCGAGUGUAGCGGUGAAAUGCGUAGAGAUUAGGAGGAACACCAGUGGCGAAGGCGGCUUACUGGACAGUAACUGACGUUGAGGCUCGAAAGCGUGGGGAGCAAACAGGAUUAGAUACCCGUGUAGUC